AUUGAACGCUGGCGGCAUGCUUUACACAUGCAAGUCGAACGGUAACAGGCCUUCGGGUGCUGACGAGUGGCGCACGGGUGAGUAAUGCAUCGGAACGUACCCAGAGGUGGGGGAUAACGCAGCGAAAGCUGUGCUAAUACCGCAUGUGAUCUGAGGUUGAAAGCGGGGGACCGAGCAGCAAUGUUUGGCCUCGCGCCUUUGGAGCGGCCGAUGUCGGAUUAGCUAGUUGGUGGGGUAAAGGCCUACCAAGGCGACGAUCCGUAGCUGGUCUGAGAGGACGACCAGCCACACUGGGACUGAGACACGGCCCAGACUCCUACGGGAGGCAGCAGUGGGGAAUUUUGGACAAUGGGCGCAAGCCUGAUCCAGCAAUGCCGCGUGCGGGAAGAAGGCCUUCGGGUUGUAAACCGCUUUUGGCAGGAACGAAACGGUGUCCGCUAAUACCGGGCGCUAAUGACGGUACCUGCAGAAUAAGCACCGGCUAACUACGUG
RNAcentral lists this ribosomal RNA (492 nucleotides) under uncultured bacterium. RNAcentral's name for it is "partial 16S ribosomal RNA". It matches the Rfam family "Bacterial small subunit ribosomal RNA", at positions 30 to 507 of the family's 1533-position model. The record is from RNAcentral.